CAUAACCUGAGCCGAAGUCGGCCGCCCAACCGACUGAGCCACCCAGGCGCCCCUCGUGUCUUCUUUAUUCCCUACUCCGGGCUGGAGAGGCUGCCCAGUGCAGAUGGAAGAGAGCAAGGGCAGAAUCAUCCUGGGGCUCUUACAGCUUCUGCUCAGAUGUGGCACAAACCAUCUCUGUUCAAAUUCCAUUAGUUGAAGCAAGCAACCUGGGGCUGAGCCCAGUGUGGGGCUUGAAUUCACAAAGUGUGAAAUCACGACGCGAGUGGACAGCAAGAGUCAGGUGCUUUGCCAACGGAGCCACCCCAACGCCCCUGUUGCUAUGUUAAUUUUAAACAACUAUUGCUCCGAGGUUUUUGAGAUUCCUGGAUCUGAAACAAACACAGACACAGCCAGCUACCCUGCCCCAGCAAGGCGCAAUCAGUGAACGGGGCCCAGGCCUCAUUUCCGGGCCCUGCACCUUGGCUCCACCUUUGUAAAGAGGUGGGGAGGGGGCCGUGUCGCCAUGCAGGCCCUGGGGUCCCGCCGGCCUGCCUUUACCCCUCUUGAAGGUGAUGCAGCUUUGGAGAAGCCCUUACCCGGGGAGCCGAGCCGCAGCUGGGAGGCGAAUGUGGAGACCGAGCUGACUCCAGGCAGAGGCCAUCCUGCCCCACCGCGCCCUACCCGCCCCCACCCCCAUGAAAUGAGCGACACUCAAGACUUUGCCACUUUCCCCGUGGUUGCCACCCAGGUGAAGCUGGGGGGCUGGAGCCGUCAGGGUGGGGGCAGCGUGUCUCUCCGCCCGCGCCCGCACCAGGAGCUCCAGGCCUUCCUCAGCCUUCUGGAGCACAGUUUCCUGCAGGAAUUCCUUUCCAGAGAUCCCUGUUUCCAGAUUUCAGAUAAGUAUCUCCUGGCCAUGGUGCUGGUCUACUUCCGGCGUGCCAACCUGAAGCUCAGCGAGUACACCCACAGCAACUUGUUCUUGGCGCUGUUUCUUGCAAAUGACAUGGAGGAGGAUCUGGAGGACCCUAAAUGUGUGAUUUUUCUGUGGGCCCUGGGAAAAGAUUGGCGUCGUCAGGUGGCAGACUUCCUGCACCAGAGGGAUAAGCUGUGGGCCCGGAUGGGCUUCCGGGCCAUGGUGAGCCGCCAGUGCUGUGAGGAGGUCAUGGCCAAGGAGCCGUCCCAUUGGGCCUGGACUCGAGAGCGGCGUCCCCACCACGGUGGAGCUCAGAGGGGCUGCCCAAAGGCCCGGGUGCCCCUGCCUGGAGGCCCCGGCCUCUCGCCUCCUCACUGUUCCCUCUGUGCCUUGCCCCCUGCCCACGGCCUCUGCAGCCACCAGCCCCGCCCCUUGCCUGUCUUAUCCAAGUGCCCUUCCCCAAACCCUGAGUGCCAUUGCCCUCCCUCCCAAGCUUGUCUCUCAGUGGCCGAAGACCCCUUGGUGGGGGGCUUCCUCAUCAUCCUGCCCCCCCAAAUGCAGCUGGAGCCGGGCACCUACACUCUCCACAAUGGCACCAGUGGCCAGUGGCUCCCCAAUUUGUACUUCUGAGAGCUGUUCCCUCCUCAAGCAUCUCUGCUUGGAGGGAUUGUUCCCAAAGGUCUUCCACUGUCUCCUCAGCUUGCUUUCAGCUCUCUUGCCCUGAGGAGGCCCCAGUGCAACUUUUGUCGCCAGUCCCGAAAUCAUCCGGCACUAGCCACCUCCACCACGCCGCUUACAUUCGAGCCCCAGGAGAUCAAAACUGUAUACCUAAAGUGCACUGGCAGGGAGGCCGGUGCCGUGUCUGCUUGGGCCCCCAAGAUGGGCCCCUUAGGGUCUGUCCCUCAAGAAGAUUGGUAACGACAUCGCCAAAAGAAACUGGUGAUGGCAAGGACUGGGGAUGACAGUGAACAGAUAGGACGCCAUACGGGCGGUGCCUUCUGCCUCUGCCCUGAUCAUCAAACCCCUCAAGAAACCACCCAGAGACAGAAGCAGGAAAACAUGAAGCACGGUGGGAACAUCACUUUGGAUAAUAUUGUCAAGUUACUGGACAGAUACCGCACCCACCUUUAACUAGAGCACUUGGAACCCACUAAAGAGAUCAUGGGGAUUGCCCCAUCUGUGGGAUGCAGUGUGGAUGGCUGUCACCCUCACGACACCAUAGAUGUCAGCAGUGGUGCAGUGGGAUGCCCAGCUACAAAGGAAAAGGUCUCAAGGAAAGAUCGUUUGAUGACUGUCCCUACCAAAGCUAUGAAUAUUCAUACACAAGUCUUUGGACAUGCGCUUUUAUUUCUCUUGGGUAAAAGCCUAGGAGUGGAAUAAUGGGUCAUAUAUGGUAGGUGUAUGUUUUAACUUUUUUCUUUUUUUUAAGAUGGACUAUUUUUUAGAGCCGUUUUUGGUUUACAGAGAAACGGCUCCUUAAAUACCGAGAAUUGGGCACAUACCCCCCUCUUUCUCCCUUACAUUGUUUCUCUUGUUGUUAAUAUCCUACAUUUGUGUGGUAUAAUAUCAUGUAACUAUCAUUGUAGUAUCAUACAGAAGUUUCAGGCCCUCAAGAAGCCCCCAGUUUCAUCUAUUAUCCCUCCCCACCUCCACCAAACUCUUGGCAACCACUGAUCUUUUUUUAACUAUCUCUAGUUCUGUCUUUUACAGAAUGUUACAUAGUUGGAAUCCUACACUACAUAGUUUUUUAAUGGCUUCUUUUUUUUACACGUUUAUUUAUUUUUU
RNA transcript from Lynx canadensis (Canada lynx), 2677 nucleotides. It is a transcript of the gene named speedy/RINGO cell cycle regulator family member C, with no coding region annotated. The transcript is spliced from 10 exons. The record is from RefSeq and is a predicted model, not a curated record. NCBI's taxonomy places the organism in Eukaryota, Metazoa, Chordata, Mammalia, Carnivora, Felidae.